Molecule: non-coding RNA, 295 nt
Organism: Camelina sativa (false flax)
Lineage: Eukaryota; Viridiplantae; Streptophyta; Magnoliopsida; Brassicales; Brassicaceae
Source: RefSeq, a predicted model, not a curated record
ACCCAUGAAUGGCAAGCUUACAUUUCACGUUGUCAUGCAUUGCGUAAAGUGUUUGUAUCUGUCAAGGGUAUUUACUAUCAGGCUGAAUUAGAAGGUCAAAAGAUCACUUGGUUAACCCCUCAUGCAAUACAACAAGUUUUUACAUAUGAUGUUUGACUUUGGUGUCCUGCUUUUAUGAGACUCUUCUUGCCGUUAUUAAUUUCAAGCUUUACCAUUCUCUGAAUGUGAAAUAUCCGCCAAUCCUUGAUUCUCGGUUGGAGGCUUUGGCUGCGGAUACAUAGAUGCCAGCUCCAAG